GACGAACGCUGGCGGCGUGCUUAACACAUGCAAGUCGAACGGCAAGGCCCUGCUUUUGUGGGGUGCUCGAGUGGCGAACGGGGGAGUAACACGUGAGUAACCUGCCCUUGACUUUGGGAUAACUUCAGGAAACUGGGGCUAAUCCCGGAUAGCAGCUCCUGCUGCAUUGUGGGGGUUGGAAAGUUUCGGCGGUUGGGGAUGGACGCGCGGGUUAUGAGCUUGUUGGUGGGGUAGUGGCUUACCAAGGCUUUGACGGGUAGCCGGCCUGGGAGGGGGAACGGGCACAAUGGUCCUGCGGGACGCCCCAGAGUCCAACGGGAGGCAGCGGGGGGGAAUCUUGCACAGUGGGCGGACGCCGGAUGCAGCAACGCCGCGGGCGGGAUGACGGCCUGUGGGUUGUGAACCGCUUUAGCCUGUGACGAAGCGGGAGUGACGGUAAUGGGUAAAGAAGCACCGGCUAACUACGUG
This 468-nucleotide ribosomal RNA is filed under the name uncultured bacterium. RNAcentral describes it as "partial 16S ribosomal RNA". It matches the Rfam family "Bacterial small subunit ribosomal RNA", at positions 28 to 507 of the family's 1533-position model. The record is from RNAcentral.